AGCCUUAAGAAAAUUGAUUUAAGGUUAUACCUGCCCUAUGUACUUUGGUAUAAAUGGCCGCGGUACUUUGACCGUGCUAAGGUAGCGCAAUCAAUUGGCUCUUAAUUGGGGUCAGGAAUGAAUGGAGUUUACGGGGUUCAUCUGUCUCCUAGUUAAUUAGUUGAAGUUACUAUAUAGGUGAAAAAGCCUAUGUAAAGAAAAAGGACGAGAAGACCCUUAGAGUUUUACUUAAUCUGAUAAUUAUAGAAGUAGUUAAUCAUAAUAGUUUUGUUGGGGCAACACAGGAGCAGUAAAAUCAAAUAAUAAUCUCCUAAAGUAUAACAAACCGAUAAUUUUAAAAAUGAAUAAACUACCUUAGGGAUAACAGCAUUAUUUUAUUGAUAAGUUUGUGACCUCGAUGUUGGACUAGGAAAUCUGAAGGCUAGCCGUUUUCAGAAAUGGUUCUGUUCGAACUUUUUCUCCU
RNAcentral lists this ribosomal RNA (463 nucleotides) under Felimida baumanni. RNAcentral describes it as "partial 16S ribosomal RNA". It matches the Rfam family "Archaeal large subunit ribosomal RNA", at positions 1921 to 2665 of the family's 2987-position model. The record is from RNAcentral. Lineage: Eukaryota; Metazoa; Mollusca; Gastropoda; Nudibranchia; Chromodorididae.